Molecule: ribosomal RNA, 763 nt
Filed under: uncultured Streptococcus sp.
Lineage: Bacteria; Bacillati; Bacillota; Bacilli; Lactobacillales; Streptococcaceae
Description: bacterial SSU rRNA
Rfam family: Bacterial small subunit ribosomal RNA
Source: RNAcentral
GACGAACGCUGGCGGCGUGCCUAAUACAUGCAAGUAGAACGCUGAAGGGAGAGCUUGCUCUUCUGGAUGAGUUGCGAACGGGUGAGUAACGCGUAGGUAACCUGCCUGGUAGCGGGGGAUAACUAUUGGAAACGAUAGCUAAUACCGCAUAAUAGUAGAUGUUGCAUGACAUUUGCUUAAAAGGUGCAAUUGCAUCACUACCAGAUGGACCUACGUUGUAUUAGCUAGUUGGUGGGGUAACGGCUCACCAAGGCGACGAUACAUAGCCGACCUGAGAGGGUGAUCGGCCACACUGGGACUGAGACACGGCCCAGACUCCUACGGGAGGCAGCAGUAGGGAAUCUUCGGCAAUGGACGGAAGUCUGACCGAGCAACGCCGCGUGAGUGAAGAAGGUUUUCGGAUCGUAAAGCUCUGUUGUAAGAGAAGAACGAGUGUGAGAGUGGAAAGUUCACACUGUGACGGUAUCUUACCAGAAAGGGACGGCUAACUACGUGCCAGCAGCCGCGGUAAUACGUAGGUCCCGAGCGUUGUCCGGAUUUAUUGGGCGUAAAGCGAGCGCAGGCGGUUAGAUAAGUCUGAAGUUAAAGGCUGUGGCUUAACCAUAGUACGCUUUGGAAACUGUUUAACUUGAGUGCAAGAGGGGAGAGUGGAAUUCCAUGUGUAGCGGUGAAAUGCGUAGAUAUAUGGAGGAACACCGGUGGCGAAAGCGGCUCUCUGGCUUGUAACUGACGCUGAGGCUCGAAAGCGUGGGGAGCAAACAGG